AAAAAUAUAGAUUUAAAAGACUGACUGCCAUCGCAAGUGGUCGGCGGAGCUUAAGUGAUUAGCAUUUCAAAUGCACAAGGAUCUAAUUCUACUCAAAACAGUUAAAUCUUUUUGUGAAAUAGUGGGGAACUGGAGCUCCAACUAAAGUAUGACACAGGUUCUCCGGAAAAAGUAAGCAACCCUCUAUAUGAGUCCACAAAGGACCUCCUACAUAGUGCUCUCCGAAAGGGCAUAGCCAAAAUUUUGGAAGAACAAAACUUGGCGCUCCCCGAGAAAAUGACCCAUUCUGAGCUAGUUGAUAAAUUAAUUGAUACGCAAGUGGUAGAUCAAUUUAUUGUGGAACCUA
Molecule: long non-coding RNA, 346 nt
Filed under: Gossypium barbadense (sea-island cotton)
Lineage: Eukaryota; Viridiplantae; Streptophyta; Magnoliopsida; Malvales; Malvaceae
Description: long non-coding RNA (GBAR_LNC005517)
Source: RNAcentral